UGUUCCCUGCGGUGUUCGUCAAGGCCAUAGACUCCUUGGACCAAUGCUGAUUGGCAUCGGUGGCUGACCAAGAAGCCGCUGUUGUGUCCGCCCCUUCGCGGGUGGGCCUGAUGCGGAAGGAAAGCCGCCUCUUCUGGACCCAGGUUCGGGAUGCCGGCUUAAACGGCACACGCGGGGAACUC
RNAcentral lists this non-coding RNA (182 nucleotides) under Accumulibacter sp. RNAcentral describes it as "6S RNA". It matches the Rfam family "6S / SsrS RNA". From Rfam's summary of the family: E. coli 6S RNA was the first non coding RNA to be sequenced, but its function was unknown until recently. It consists of 184 nucleotides that fold into an extended hairpin structure with a large single-stranded internal bulge. The record is from RNAcentral. Lineage: Bacteria; Pseudomonadati; Pseudomonadota; Betaproteobacteria.